CUUCACCUUAAGACCACAGAGAACUCAGCUUCUUGGAAGAGUAGCAAGGAGACUAAACCAGGAUGUGAGGGAAAUGGUGCUGGAGAGGACGAUCUGUCCCCAGACGGAGAGCCCCACCUCCCAGGCAUGGUGUCCAGAGGCUGGUGGGGAUGACAGUCUGACACCAGGUUCCUGACAUGCAAGGAUGGAUCACGACUAGAGGAAGUUGCAGCAGCUGGGGUGAUAGCGUGCCGGCCACUGCCACGGGAUCACCAGGCCGACAACUGCAGGAGGCACAGUUCCCAGCACAGUCCAUUUGAACGGCACCUGGGGCAAGACAUUUACUGUCCCUCGAAGCCCCAUGCACUUCCUUUAUUCGCUGAUCUUGCACCGGCCAGGCCUUGGGACUAACCCUGCUCAGCAUCCCCUGGGGGUCUUGGAACAUAUCCCGCAUGGAGAAAGGGGGGCCACUGUACCAGAGCUGUAAUUCACACCUACAGAGAAAGACCGAAAUCGUUGGCCAGCACAAAGGACAACCAUCCUUCAGUUCCUGCUCAGUGCACCCAAGGUUCCCCUUCAUGAGAAAGACUGUCUUGGAUUCUGUGCUGCAGAUGUGGAAACCUCUGUACACACCACGCAUUAUAAUCAGAUAAAGCCCUGGACCCCGUGACGGAUGGCCACGGCAUACCAGCUGCUGUCCACUGACUUCUCUCACUGAGGCUCUUGUCCAGCAGAAGAACUGGGCAUGCUCAUGUUGGCAAGAAAAUGAACCUGAAAUGUGGAAUGUAUUCAGAGACUGGAAGGAGCGAGCCCUUUAUUUGCUUAAGGCUGCUUCCUUGCACCUGAUAUUAAUAAAUGAAAUGAAGGCUGAACAGUGUUUCAAACAACUAUACAAAUUGGAACAUGCUCGUCUAGUCAACAGAAGACGAAGAAAAUCCAGAAGUCGGCAAUAAAUAAACUGAAUAAGCUCAGUCAGUCAUUUCAACUUUCUUUUUGUAAGAUAUUCAUGGGAAUUGGAAUUCUGGAGGAUUGCCAUGAGUUUUUACUUCUUGCAUUGAAUUUGGACUCCCUUUUGCUUUGCGGCAUCGAUCAGAAGAAGGGACUGGGUAUGCCCAGGUCUAAUGCAAAUUUUGCUUCCUGCUAAAAAUUUUUGCAACUAUCAAAAAUGUAUGGGAAGACCACAUUCAUUAAAAUAAUAAUAACUAACAUUUUUCUAAUAUGGGCCAGAUACUGGGCUAAGCGGUUUACAUAAAUUAGCUCAUUUAACCCUAACUCAGCCUCUUUAUAUGUUAUGAGUUCCAUUUUAUGGAUGGGAAAACUGAGAUCCGGAGAGGCCCAGGAACUCACCCAAGGUUACACAUCUAGUAGCUGUUGACACAGGAAUUCAACUCCAUUACCACUAUAUCAUUAGCUGACAUCUCCAUCACACCACAUAAUGACGAUUUCUUUUGUGUGGUGGGAACAUUUAAGAUCUACUCUCUUAACAACUUUCAAGUAGAUAAUACAGUGUUAUUAACUAUAAUCAGCAUGCUGUAUAUUAGAUCUCCAGAACUUACUCAUCCUAUAACUGGAAGUUUGUACCCUUUGACCAGUAUCUCAUUUCCUCCAUCUCCCAACUCCUGGAAACCACCAGUCUACUCUGUUUCUAUGAGUUCAGCUUCUUUAGGUUCCACAUAUAAGUGAUAUCAUACAGUAUUUGUCUUUCUCUGACUUAUUUCACUGAGCAAAAUGCCCUCAGAGUUCAUUCAUGUUGUCACAAAUGGGAGGAUUUCCUUCUGUCUCAUGGAUGAAUAAUAUUCCAUUGUAUGUAUACAGUAAACAUCUUCUUUAUCCAUUCAUCUGUUGAUGGACACUGGGGUUGUUUCCAAGGCUUGACUAUUGUGAAUAAUGCAGCAAUGAACAUGAGGGGGCCGAUAUCUCUUCGAGAUCCUGGUUGCAUUUCCUUUGCAUGUAUACCUGGUUUUAUCUUGUAUUAUAUGAGUAGCACACGCCAAUAGUUUGCACACAGCAGAGGCAGUAAAAUCAGCCACAUUAACAAUUUCCUGUGAAAGGCACAAAGUUAAUGUACAUGAGGCCUCUGCCUAUCAGAAAUUUAUAAUCCAUUGGUAGAGACAAGACGAACAAUUAACUAAACUGUU
Long non-coding RNA from Equus caballus (horse), 2117 nucleotides. The record is from Ensembl. Lineage: Eukaryota; Metazoa; Chordata; Mammalia; Perissodactyla; Equidae.